GGAGUUAGCCGGUGCUUCUUCUGUGAGUGAUGUCCUUCCUGCCGGCUAUUAACCCGCAGGCCUUCUUCCUCACUGAAAGUGCUUUACAACCCGAAGGCCUUCUUCACACACGCGGCAUGGCUGGAUCAGGGUUGCCCCCAUUGUCCAAUAUUCCCCACUGAUGCCUCCCGUAGGAGUCUGGGCCGUGUCUCAGUCCCAGUGUGGCUGAUCAUCCUCUCAGACCAGCUACGGAUCGUCGCCUUGGUGAGCCGUUACCUCACCAACCAGCUAAUCCGACAUAGGCUCAUCCGAUAGCGCGAGGCCCGAAGGUCCCCCGCUUUCCCCCGUAGGGCGUAUGCGGUAUUAGCCUGGGUUUCCCCAGGUUAUCCCCCACUACCGGGCAGAUUCCUAUGCAUUACUCACCCGUCCGCCGCUCGCCACCAGGGAGCAAGCUCCCCGUGCUGCCGCUCGACUUGCAUGUGUUAGGCCUGCCGCCAGCGUUCAAUCUGAGCCANAGACAACAACUGACACAGCGGCGGCGCGACGACGGCGACUAG
This 536-nucleotide ribosomal RNA is filed under the name uncultured bacterium. RNAcentral describes it as "partial 16S ribosomal RNA". The record is from RNAcentral.